This 310-nucleotide ribosomal RNA is filed under the name uncultured bacterium. RNAcentral's name for it is "partial 16S ribosomal RNA". It matches the Rfam family "Bacterial small subunit ribosomal RNA", at positions 503 to 809 of the family's 1533-position model. The record is from RNAcentral.
AAGAGACAGCAGUCGCCACGGUAAUACGUAGGGUGCAAGCGUUAAUCGGAAUUACUGGGCGUAAAGCGUGCGCAGGCGGUUAUAUAAGUCAGAUGUGAAAUCCCUGGGCUCAACCUGGGAACUGCAUUUGAGACUGUAUGGCUAGAGUGUGUCAGAGGGGGGUAGAAUUCCACGUGUAGCAGUGAAAUGCGUAGAUAUGUGGAGGAAUACCGAUGGCGGAGGCAGCCCCCUGGGAUAACACUGACGCUCAUGCACGAAAGCGUGGGGAGCAAACAGGAUUAGAUACCCCCGUAGUCCCUGUCUCUUAUAA